GUAUAGAAGGAACCGAUACUCCCUGAACCAAGAACGAGAUACAAUCUUAGGGUGUUGUUAUUGUAACUGGUUCUUUGCAAUGCAAAGUAAGAGCACAAAAAAUGAAUCUAUUCUUCAUCUCUUUUCUAUAUAACCUGUUCAAAUCCCAAACCAACUGAUUUAGAGGUAAGCUGGCAAUUCAAUUGCAAUUCUAUGCAGAAAAACUAGCCUGACAUCGAAGCUAACUCGAGCUUCUUUUUACUCUUUAUCACAUCAAUGUAAAAGAGUCCAUUUUUGUUACUAGUACACAUACCUUUGUAACACAGUAAUAAGAGU
Molecule: long non-coding RNA, 315 nt
Organism: Arabidopsis thaliana (thale cress)
Lineage: Eukaryota; Viridiplantae; Streptophyta; Magnoliopsida; Brassicales; Brassicaceae
Product: other RNA
Exons: 1
Source: RefSeq